This 254-nucleotide ribosomal RNA is filed under the name uncultured bacterium. Its description in RNAcentral is "partial 16S ribosomal RNA". It matches the Rfam family "Bacterial small subunit ribosomal RNA", at positions 524 to 776 of the family's 1533-position model. The record is from RNAcentral.
UACGUAGGGCGCGAGCGUUGUCCGGAAUUAUUGGGCGUAAAGAGCUCGUAGGUGGCUUGUCGCGUCUGCCGUGAAAGCCCGUGGCUUAACUACGGGUCUGCGGUGGAUACGGGCAGGCUAGAGGCUGGUAGGGGCAAGCGGAAUUCCUGGUGUAGCGGUGAAAUGCGCAGAUAUCAGGAGGAACACCGGUGGCGAAGGCGGCUUGCUGGGCCAGUUCUGACGCUGAGUGAGCGAAAGCCAGGGGAGCAAACGGG